UGGGGAAUCUUGCGCAAUGGGCGAAAGCCUGACGCAGCGACGCCGCGUGGGGGAUGAAGCCCUUCGGGGUGUAAACCCCUUUCGACCCGGACGAAAAUCCGCAAGGAUCUGACGGUACGGGUAGAAGAAGCCCCGGCUAACUACGUGCCAGCAGCCGCGGUAAGACGUAGGGGGCCAGCGUUGCUCGGAAUUACUGGGCGUAAAGGGUCCGUAGGCGGUGCGGCAAGUCGGAAGUGAAAUCUCUGGGCUUAACCCAGAGGCUGCUUCCGAAACUGCCGUGCUCGAGUGUGGGAGAGGCGAGUGGAAUUGCAGGUGUAGCGGUGAAAUGCGUAGAUAUCUGCAGGAACACCAGAGGCGAAGGCGGCUCGCUGGACCACAACUGACGCUGAGGGACGAAAGCUAGGGGAGCAAACAGG
This 416-nucleotide ribosomal RNA is filed under the name uncultured Acidobacteriota bacterium. RNAcentral's name for it is "bacterial SSU rRNA". It matches the Rfam family "Bacterial small subunit ribosomal RNA", at positions 355 to 776 of the family's 1533-position model. Lineage: Bacteria; Pseudomonadati; Acidobacteriota. The record is from RNAcentral.